This 196-nucleotide ribosomal RNA is filed under the name uncultured bacterium. RNAcentral describes it as "partial 16S ribosomal RNA". It matches the Rfam family "Bacterial small subunit ribosomal RNA", at positions 335 to 524 of the family's 1533-position model. The record is from RNAcentral.
ACUCCUACGGGAGGCAGCAGUCGGGAAUCUUCCGCAAUGGGCGAAAGCCUGACGGAGCGACGCCGCGUGAGUGAUGAAGGCAUUCGGGUUGUAAAGCUCUGUGGGGAGAGAAGAAUAAGUCUAGGCGAAUACCCUGGAUGACGACGGUAUCUCCUUAGCAAGCACCGGCUAACUCUGUGCCAGCAGCCGCGGUAAU